AGUGAACGCUGGCGGUAGGCCUAACACAUGCAAGUCGAACGGCAGCACAGUAAGAGCUUGCUCUUACGGGUGGCGAGUGGCGGACGGGUGAGGAAUACAUCGGAAUCUACUUUUUCGUGGGGGAUAACGUAGGGAAACUUACGCUAAUACCGCAUACGACCUACGGGUGAAAGCAGGGGAUCUUCGGACCUUGCGCGACUGAAUGAGCCGAUGUCGGAUUAGCUAGUUGGCGGGGUAAAGGCCCACCAAGGCGACGAUCCGUAGCUGGUCUGAGGGGAUGAUCAGCCACACUGGAACUGAGACACGGUCCAGACUCCUACGGGAGGCAGCAGUGGGGAAUAUUGGACAAUGGGCGCAAGCCUGAUCCAGCCAGACCGCGUGGGAGAAGAAGGCCUUCGGGUUGUAAAGCCCUUUUGUUGGGAAAGAAAAGCAGCAGGUUAAUACCCCGCUGUUCUGACGGUACCCAAAGAAUAAGCACCGGCUAACUUCGUG
RNAcentral lists this ribosomal RNA (492 nucleotides) under uncultured bacterium. RNAcentral's name for it is "partial 16S ribosomal RNA". It matches the Rfam family "Bacterial small subunit ribosomal RNA", at positions 29 to 507 of the family's 1533-position model. The record is from RNAcentral.